GAUGAAGAACGCAGCGAAAUGCGAUACGUAAUGUGAAUUGCAGAAUUCAGUGAAUCAUCGAGUCUUUGAACGCACAUUGCGCCCCCUGGUAUUCCGGGGGGCAUGCCUGUCCGAGCGUCAUUGCUGCCCUCAAGCACGGCUUGUGUGUUGGGCCUCCGUCCUCCUCCCGGGGGACGGGCCCGAAAGGCAGCGGCGGCACCGCGUCCGGUCCUCGAGCGUAUGGGGCUUCGUCACCCGCUCUUGUAGGCCCCGCCGGCGCUUGCCGACACAUCAAUCUUUUUUCCAGGUUGACCUCGGAUCAGGUAGGGAUACCCGCUGAACUUAAGCAUAUCAAUAAGCGGAGGA
This 345-nucleotide unclassified non-coding RNA is filed under the name soil metagenome. RNAcentral describes it as "partial contains 5.8S ribosomal RNA, internal transcribed spacer 2, and large subunit ribosomal RNA". The stretch from base 1 to 120 matches the Rfam family "5.8S ribosomal RNA", at positions 35 to 154 of the family's 154-position model. The record is from RNAcentral.